This 468-nucleotide ribosomal RNA is filed under the name uncultured bacterium. Its description in RNAcentral is "partial 16S ribosomal RNA". It matches the Rfam family "Bacterial small subunit ribosomal RNA", at positions 28 to 507 of the family's 1533-position model. The record is from RNAcentral.
GACGAACGCUGGCGGCGUGCUUAACACAUGCAAGUCGAACGGAAAGGCCCUGCUUUUGUGGGGUGCUCGAGUGGCGAACGGGUGAGUAACACGUGAGUAACCUGCCCUUGACUUUGGGAUAACUUCAGGAAACUGGGGCUAAUACCGGAUAGGAGCUCCUGCUGCAUGGUGGGGGUUGGAACGUUUCGGCGGUUGGGGAUGGACUCGCGGCUUAUCAGCUUGUUGGUGGGGUAGUGGCUUACCAAGGCUUUGACGGGUAGCCGGCCUGAGAGGGUGACCGGCCACAUUGGGACUGAGAUACGGCCCAGACUCCUACGGGAGGCAGCAGUGGGGAAUAUUGCACAAUGGGCGGAAGCCUGAUGCAGCAACGCCGCGUGCGGGAUGACGGCCUUCGGGUUGUAAACCGCUUUCGCCUGUGACGAAGCGUGAGUGACGGUAAUGUGUAAAGAAGCACCGGCUAACUACGUG